Molecule: ribosomal RNA, 295 nt
Filed under: Klebsiella sp.
Lineage: Bacteria; Pseudomonadati; Pseudomonadota; Gammaproteobacteria; Enterobacterales; Enterobacteriaceae
Description: partial 16S ribosomal RNA
Rfam family: Bacterial small subunit ribosomal RNA
Source: RNAcentral
GCAAGACCAAAGUGGGGGACCUUCGGGCCUCAUGCCAUCAGAUGUGCCCAGAUGGGAUUAGCUGGUAGGUGGGGUAACGGCUCACCUAGGCGACGAUCCCUAGCUGGUCUGAGAGGAUGACCAGCCACACUGGAACUGAGACACGGUCCAGACUCCUACGGGAGGCAGCAGUGGGGAAUAUUGCACAAUGGGCGCAAGCCUGAUGCAGCCAUGCCGCGUGUGUGAAGAAGGCCUUCGGGUUGUAAAGCACUUUCAGCGGGGAGGAAGGCGGUGAGGUUAAUAACCUCACCGAUUG